Molecule: ribosomal RNA, 461 nt
Filed under: Hepatozoon canis
Lineage: Eukaryota; Apicomplexa; Hepatozoidae
Description: SSU rRNA
Rfam family: Eukaryotic small subunit ribosomal RNA
Source: RNAcentral
GUCUGGUGCCAGCAGCCGCGGUAAUUCCAGCUCCAAUAGCGUAUAUUAAAAUUGUUGCAGUUAAAAAGCUCGUAGUUGAAGUUCUGCUAAAAGUAACCGGUCUGCUUUGAAUAAAAGUGGUAUCUUGGUAUGUAUUUAGCAAUGAUGUCCUUUGAAGUGUUUUUUACUUUAUUGUAAUAAAGCAUAUUCAGGACUUUUACUUUGAGAAAAUUAGAGUGUUUCUAGCAGGCCAACGCUUUGAAUACUGCAGCAUGGAAUAAUAAGAUAGGAUUUUAGUUCUACAUUAUUGGUUUUAAGAGCUAAAUUAAUGAUUGAUAGGGACAGUUGGGGGCAUUUGUAUUUAACUGUCAGAGGUGAAAUUCUUAGAUUUGUUAAAGACAAACUACUGCGAAAGCAUUUGCCAAAGAUGUUUUCAUUAAUCAAGAACGAAAGUUAGGGGAUCGAAGACGAUCAGAUACCGU